CCUAAGCAUCGAUCAACAUUACAUAUAGCAGAAUGCACACAAAACAAAUGGACCAUUAUUUUUCACUACCGUGGCAUCGCUUUCAUAUAGAUCAUCAUUUCUCCUAGUUACUACUAGGGUAGGGCACUCGAUAUGUCCUACUUUCUACCACAAGUCAUGCCAAAAAUUCUGUCAUGACCUUUGCUAAAAAUAGGACAUAUGGAGCGCUUGAAAUAUGCCGAAAUGGAAAUGAAUCAACAUUCUGGCAAAACAUAGGUCACUCGGAGUCUCCCUGCAACAAGAACACCAAGAAACAAGCUCUCCAUGUUCAUUAUCGACAUCAACAUGGGGACUAGCCCUUGCAUUUUAAUAGAAAGAAGAAAUACAUGAAGUCCUCGACAUGGGUACAGUUUCCUCUGUGCGUGUUCAUCAUCGACAUUCACCAGAGAUCAUCAUUGACAUCAACAACAUGGGGAUUUGGCUGGGCUCAGCUCGAGGUCAGAGGGGGUCGGUGAUGGGGAUGACGAAAACGACGAGGCAGGGGCAAAUACUUGAUUUAUACAUAAACAAAAUAUAAAUAGAACAUUAUCAUGUCGAUUUUAGGACUUAGUGAAAAACAGAGGUCUAUAUAAACAGAAAACAUUAUCAUCGUUGACAUGGUUAUAGUUUCCUCUGUGCAUGUUCAUCAUCGACAUUCACCAGAGAUCAUCAUUGACAUCAACAACAUGGGGAUUUGGCUGGGCUCAGCUCGAGGUCAGAGGGGGUUGGUGAUGGGGACGAGGAAAUGACGAGGCAGGGGCAAAUACUUGAUUUCUACAUAAACAAAAUAUAAGUAGAACAUUAUCAUGUUUAUUUUUAGGACUUAGUGAAUAACAGAGGUCUAUAUAAACAGAAACAUUAUCAUGUUUAUUUUUAGGACUUAGUGAAUAACAGAGGUCUAUAUAAACAGAAACAUUAUCAUGCUGACUUGGAUGCAAGACAUGAAAUGCUACAGGAAGUUAACAUGGCAUAUAUGCAUGGCAUGAAAGUUGACAUAUGAUGUAGUUCCUAACUCAUGUAGAAAUUCACCAAGUGUCAACAGGCAACAAUAUUAUUAUAGGUAAUUUACAUGCUCAAAACAGUGUGUUAAAGAUUUUUAGAGAUGAUAAAAAGGAUAUGGACAGAUAGUACAAAUAACAUAGAGAAAAUCAUAUACAUGGCAUGAAUUUAUUUGAUGCAUGGUUAUUUAGGUAUGAGUUUUACAAAAUGCCAAGUUUUACUGAAAUCAGUGAAAAUUAUAUAUUAACAUUAAGUUGACUACUUUGAGCAGAUCCAACAGUGGCUAAAAAAGAUGAUCAAAUCAGGCAAUUGGCAUGUAGAUGUAGUAUUCACAGAGCUUAACAAAACAUCUUUAGCACAUGCAUCCAAAAGAGCCACGGAUAAUUCACGAAUUCCACCACAAAAGGGCUAAACAGAUUUGGAUUCAGACUUGGCACAAAUUUAGUAAUCAGCAUGCAAAUUUGAAGUUGCUCCUCACCUUGCUCCGGCGGCGGCGACGUGGGAGGGAGGGAGCGGGCGGAGUCGAUGUGGGAAGGAGGGACAGGGCGAAGGCGACGUGGGAGGGAGGGACAGGAUGGCGGCGACGAUGUAGGAGAGAGUGCCGGCGAGAGGAGUGGAGGAAGGAGGGAGGAGGUGGGGUGACGGCUGGAGGAGUGAUGGCGGCGGCGGGAGGAGGAGCGACAGCGAGAGAGCGAGAGUGAGGAAAGUGGAGUGAGGAACGUGUAGGGAGAUAAGAGUGUUCGGCUUAGCAGCAGCGCCGAGCAGGGGGGCGCACUACAGCUAAG
This 1802-nucleotide long non-coding RNA is filed under the name Triticum aestivum (bread wheat). Its description in RNAcentral is "long non-coding RNA (TAES_LNC014634)". Lineage: Eukaryota; Viridiplantae; Streptophyta; Magnoliopsida; Poales; Poaceae. The record is from RNAcentral.